GAUCAUGGCUCAGGAUGAACGCUAGCGACAGGCUUAACACAUGCAAGUCGAGGGGCAGCAUGAGGUAGCAAUACCUUGAUGGCGACCGGCGCACGGGUGAGUAACGCGUAUGCAACCUGCCCGAUACCGGGGUAUAGCCCAUGGAAACGUGGAUUAACACCCCAUAGUACUUUUAUCCUGCCUGGGAUGGGAGUUAAAUGUUCAAGGUAUCGGAUGGGCAUGCGUCCUAUUAGUUAGUUGGG
Molecule: ribosomal RNA, 242 nt
Filed under: uncultured bacterium
Lineage: Bacteria
Description: partial 16S ribosomal RNA
Rfam family: Bacterial small subunit ribosomal RNA
Source: RNAcentral